AAGGGCGUAUGGGGGAUGUCUUGGCAUCAGAUGGCGAUGAAGGGCGUGGAAGACUGCGAUAAUCUUGGGGAAGUUGUCAAACGAGCGUUGAUCCCGAGGUUCCUGAAUUAUCAUAUGCUGAAUACAUAGGUAUAUGAGGCGUACGCGGCGAACUGAAACAUCUCAGUAACCGCAGGAAAGGAAAGCAACAGCGACUUCGUGAGUAGCGGCGAGCGAAAGCGAAUCUAGCCUAAACCGUCUUGCUUCGGCUUGACGGGGUUGUGGGGCUUGUCAUUGUGAAGUUACAAAACUGUUUAUUAGAAGAAUUCGUUGGAAAGCGAAACCAUAGAGGGUGACAGUCCCGUAUUCGAAAGUAAUCAGACUUCCGACAAGUACCCGAGUAGGUCCGGCCACGUGGAAUCCGGAUUGAAUCUGGGAGGUCCAUCUCCUAAGGCUAAGUAUUCUCUGAUGACCGAUAGUGAAAAGUAGGGUGACCGAAAGAUGAAAAGAACCCCUGUUAGGGGAGGGAAAGAACCUGAAACCAUACGCUUACAAGCUGUCGGAGCACGAUUAUCUUCGGAUACGUGUGACGGCGUGCCUUUUGCAUAAUGAUCCGGCGAGUUGCGGUCAGCGGCUCGGUUAAGGCCUUCCGGGCCGAAGCCUCAGGGAAACCGAGUCUGAAUAGGGCGUCAUUGUCGUUGGCUGCAGACGCGAACCUGGGUGAUCUACCCAUGAGCAGGUUGAAGCGCGGGUUGUACCGCGUGGAGGACCGAACCCACUUGGGUUGAAAACCGAGGGGAUGACUUGUGGGGAGGAGUGAAAGUCUAAUCAAACCCAGAGAUAGCUCGUUCUCUCCGAAAU
RNAcentral lists this ribosomal RNA (840 nucleotides) under uncultured Symbiodinium. RNAcentral's name for it is "partial Bacterial large subunit ribosomal RNA". It matches the Rfam family "Bacterial large subunit ribosomal RNA", at positions 13 to 865 of the family's 2925-position model. The record is from RNAcentral. Lineage: Eukaryota; Dinophyceae; Suessiales; Symbiodiniaceae.